UCCUCGAUAGCUCAGUUGGUAGAGCAAUCGGCUGUUAACCGAUCGGUCGUAGGUUCGAGUCCUACUCGAGGAGCCA
RNAcentral lists this transfer RNA (76 nucleotides) under Pectinatus frisingensis. Its description in RNAcentral is "tRNA-Asn". It matches the Rfam family "tRNA". Rfam says of the family: Transfer RNA (tRNA) molecules are approximately 80 nucleotides in length. RNAcentral also lists the same sequence under 60 other names. Lineage: Bacteria; Bacillati; Bacillota; Negativicutes; Selenomonadales; Selenomonadaceae. The record is from RNAcentral.